RNAcentral lists this ribosomal RNA (246 nucleotides) under uncultured bacterium. RNAcentral's name for it is "partial 16S ribosomal RNA". It matches the Rfam family "Bacterial small subunit ribosomal RNA", at positions 90 to 339 of the family's 1533-position model. The record is from RNAcentral.
GGCGAGUGGCGAACGGGUGAGUAAUGCAUCGGAACGUGCCCAAUCGUGGGGGAUAACGCAGCGAAAGCUGUGCUAAUACCGCAUACGAUCUACGGAUGAAAGCGGGGGACCUUCGGGCCUCGCGCGAUUAGAGCGGCCGAUAUCAGAUUAGGUUGUUGGUGAGGUAAAAGCUCACCAAGCCGACGAUCCAUAGCUGGUUUGAGAGGAUGAUCAGCCACACUGGAACUGAGACACGGUCCAGACUCC